Molecule: transfer RNA, 73 nt
Filed under: Listeria monocytogenes
Lineage: Bacteria; Bacillati; Bacillota; Bacilli; Caryophanales; Listeriaceae
Description: tRNA-Ala
Rfam family: tRNA (bases 8-65)
About the family: Transfer RNA (tRNA) molecules are approximately 80 nucleotides in length. Their secondary structure includes four short double-helical elements and three loops (D, anti-codon, and T loops). Further hydrogen bonds mediate the characteristic L-shaped molecular structure. tRNAs have two regions of fundamental functional importance: the anti-codon, which is responsible for specific mRNA codon recognition, and the 3' end, to which the tRNAs corresponding amino acid is attached (by aminoacyl-tRNA synthetases). tRNAs cope with the degeneracy of the genetic code in two manners: having more than one tRNA (with a specific anti-codon) for a particular amino acid; and 'wobble' base-pairing, i.e. permitting non-standard base-pairing at the 3rd anti-codon position.
Source: RNAcentral
GGGGCCUUAGCUCAGCUGGGAGAGCGCCUGCUUUGCACGCAGGAGGUCACAGGUUCGAAUCCUGUCUUCCCGA